Pseudoliparis swirei is the source of this 1019-nucleotide long non-coding RNA. RefSeq lists it as uncharacterized. The transcript is spliced from 3 exons. NCBI's taxonomy places the organism in Eukaryota, Metazoa, Chordata, Actinopteri, Perciformes, Liparidae. The record is from RefSeq and is a predicted model, not a curated record.
AGCGCCCUGAACGGGCCACUCUCUCUGCCGCCCUGCGACUCGCAGAGCACGAGCAGAGAUCAUCGCAGGGAGCUCUGGCGAUAGCGUCAGGCGUGUGUUGGUUCACCAGAAAACUGUCGGGACUACUUCUCUGGGACCUCCAGUUGGAGACACCGGGAUCUGCUGCAUGCUGUGCGUCCUGCCUGGUCUCUCCUCACGUACAGUUUGGCAACUGCUGCAAUUCGCCAACGUCGCACAUCCAUCAGUCCUCCCCCCCUAUACAGCAUCAGCAUCACCUAUCACCCCUCCCGCCCGCCCCCCGUCCCGAGGCAGCUGUGCCCGGCUGUCCUUCCCGAGCCCCGCUGCGGUCCCGCCUGGGCAGCGCGCACGGAAACGGACUCUGUAACAGAUGUGAUGGGCACGAUGCAGCAAGUAGAUGGCGAGCUUCCCAGCUGGAUUUCCAGGAAGCCAGAUCUACAUUUCCACUGAAACUAAAGGAUGAACUAUCUGCUUUGUGGGAGGAUCCUGCCAGUCACCUGGACUGAUACCAGCUCAAACAUAGAAAGCACAUUGACUCCUCGGACAGAUCAGACCUCCAUCUGAGCUGAACUCAAACACAGUUGUAUUUGACCGACUUCCCCUGUGGUCACCAUGCAGGCACUGACUUGGGAGUUAUUUGAGUUGUGGAGAAAUUCCACGAGAGGACGAAUCUGCACAAUGACGUUUGUCCAUCACCAAACCAAGCUUCCUGAAAGGACAUUUUCUUUGGCUAAGGGGUGAGUUUUUUAUUUGGCAAUGUGAAUGUCCCAGUUGUCUUUCUAUUCACAUGAAUGAAUGAAGAUUGUAAAGCACUCCGAGACAAAUUUGUAAUUUGUGAAAUUGGGCUAUACAAAUAAACUGAAUUGAAUUGAAUUGAAUUGAAUAUUCACUAUGAAUUAAUUUGUGUUGUCGUGUUUAUGCAUUGCACUCAAAACUCAGCUGUAUAAUGAUAUAAUAUAAUAUAUUUUUUAUUGAAUGAAAGGCAGCAGGGACAUACUAAA